CGUAACACAGAUAAGCAUGUUCUUGUGGACAGGUGAGUAUGAGCUGAGGAGGAUCAGCUGCAAGUGAAGAGAAAUACAGUGAAAGAGCAGAUCUAAUAUUCAGAUUAUGGACCCAAAUAGUAGGCAGUCAAAAGGUGGACAGUGUAGGGGGAGAAGGAUGGUCUUCAGGUUUCACAAACCCUAAGUGGAAUUUAAAUACGUCUAUUGACUGUCCAUUCAUUCAUCCAUCCAAUACCUACCACAACCUACUAUGUGUUCUGAUGCUAUACUGGAGGUGUGCCAAGCCCAAAUUCUGUCAGCAGAGCCAGGGUUUCUAAAUACAAGUCAGAAUAGGAUGAAAUAAGGAAACUGCUAUUUGUUAAACAUAACAUUAGGCACUUUCAAACUGAGUAUUUAAUUUAAUUCUUGAAACAUUCCUGUAGAUAUUAUUACCCUUGAUUCUGAAGAAGGGCAAAAAGAGCACAUUUCAUGGAAGGAGGAUAGAGUAAAACCAGAGUGAAGUUGAUCAUCUGUGAAACCUACACGUAAUAUAACCUCUGAGUCUCUGCUUCCUUAUCUGUAAAAUAGACCUGUCUUUGAGGAUAGUUGUAAGGAGGAAAUUGCAUUAAAUGGCAAAUACUAAAGUCCCCAGCAUUUAACACCUGGCAACUGUGUAAGUGUGUGUCUUCUACAUUCCCAUCGGAAGUCUUACAGGAGGAGGUGCCCAAGAGACUGGCAGAACAAGGACUGAAGCCUGGCCAGGAUCACACACAAUUAUCCCACCCUGGGAAAAGCAAGCAUGGGUCAUUCUUGCUGCAGGUAACCUGCCUUAGAAAUCCAGAGCUCAGCCACCAAUCCAGGGGGCCUGGAAAACCAAGGCAGGAGUGAAUUAAAAGCAGAUUAGUCAUUAGCAAAAGCAGGAUCCCAGUCACUGGAACCAAGUUGCAAUGAUAGGGAAGAACUGGUCAGAUGACUGGUCAGAUGGCCCAGCAUUUCAGCAGAACCUGGAGUAUCAGCCCCUGAGAAGAAGGAAGUCAGAAUUCAUUGCUCCCAUAUGCCCAUCUCCAGCAGUUAGGGCACUCGGUUCUUCCUUCUAUGACUCAGCAACUACUCAGCUGUUUGAUCUGCCUCCAGCCUUGUUUCUCAGACCCCAGGGACUGACUGUCUAUGUUUGUGAUGCUGUCUUCUCCCCGCUGAUGUCAGCUAGGUUCACAGUAAGCUCACUCAAUACUGAGUCAUCCAAACUCAAAGGCCCCUAGGACUGCCUGAUGAAUCACCAGACCUCUGGAAGGCUGAGCCUACCAGUGGAAGAAGUGGUCCUAGAUGGGGAAAGAAGUAACUGGAGAUACAGAGUACCAGGCACUUCCUUCAGGGAUCCCCUAACCACUGCAGAACAUGGUGUUUCCUGAGACACAGCACCCUCCCCUCCAAAAUGAACUACCUGCACUUGAAUCCUUGUGUCCAGGGGUGCCAGCUAGCUUCCCUUCGGUUAAUAUACUUGUUCCCUUUUCUCUGUCUUCUGUUGGAUUGAUAAUGUUUUUGAUCUUCCUGUUUCUCCCUUCUGCUUGUUCAGAAGCUAUAGAUUCUGGGGUACCUGAGUGGCUCAGUUGGUUAAGUGUCCGACUUCGGCUCAGGUCAUGAUCUCACGGUUCGUUAGUUCGAGCCCUGUGUCAGGAUCUGUGCUGACAGCUUGGAGCCUGGAACUGCUUUGGAUUCUGUGUCUCCUCUCUCUCUGCCGCUCCCCUGCUCACACUCUCUC
Molecule: long non-coding RNA, 1738 nt
Organism: Acinonyx jubatus (cheetah)
Lineage: Eukaryota; Metazoa; Chordata; Mammalia; Carnivora; Felidae
Exons: 3
Source: RefSeq, a predicted model, not a curated record